RNAcentral lists this ribosomal RNA (253 nucleotides) under uncultured bacterium. RNAcentral's name for it is "partial 16S ribosomal RNA". It matches the Rfam family "Bacterial small subunit ribosomal RNA", at positions 524 to 776 of the family's 1533-position model. The record is from RNAcentral.
UACGUAGGUGGCAAGCGUUGUCCGGAAUUAUUGGGCGUAAAGGGCGCGUAGGCGGCCUGCUAAGUCGGAUGUGAAAUCCCUCGGCUCAACCGAGGAACUGCAUCCGAUACUGGCGGGCUUGAAUCCGGGAGAGGGAUGUGGAAUUCCAGGUGUAGCGGUGAAAUGCGUAGAUAUCUGGAGGAACACCGGUGGCGAAGGCGGCAUCCUGGACCGAUAUUGACGCUGAUGCGCGAAAGCCAGGGGAGCAAACGGG